This 82-nucleotide transfer RNA is filed under the name Bacteroidota bacterium. Its description in RNAcentral is "Bacteroidetes bacterium tRNA-Leu". It matches the Rfam family "tRNA". Rfam says of the family: Transfer RNA (tRNA) molecules are approximately 80 nucleotides in length. Their secondary structure includes four short double-helical elements and three loops (D, anti-codon, and T loops). Lineage: Bacteria; Pseudomonadati; Bacteroidota. RNAcentral also lists the same sequence under 3 other names. The record is from RNAcentral.
GCCAAAGUGGCGGAACUGGUAGACGCGCACGACUCAAAAUCGUGUUCCUUCGGGAGUGUGGGUUCGAUUCCCACCUUUGGUA